GUCUAUGGCCAUGCCACCCUGAACAUGGAAAUCUCAUCUGAUCUCGAAAGCUAAGCAGGGUCAGCCUGGUUACUAACUUGGAUGGAGUAGACU
RNAcentral lists this ribosomal RNA (93 nucleotides) under Carlito syrichta (Philippine tarsier). The record is from RNAcentral. Lineage: Eukaryota; Metazoa; Chordata; Mammalia; Primates; Tarsiidae.